Chlorocebus sabaeus (green monkey) is the source of this 1732-nucleotide non-coding RNA. The record is from RefSeq and is a predicted model, not a curated record. NCBI's taxonomy places the organism in Eukaryota, Metazoa, Chordata, Mammalia, Primates, Cercopithecidae.
UACAAAAUUAAACUGCUUUAUAACCUAUUUAGUACAAAAUAGAUCUAAAAGUAAGAUACAGAAAAAUACAAGGCAGGGAGUCUCUCUGAAUCUGCUGUGAUUCUGGGGACUGCCCAAUUCGUGAAUUGUUCAUUGCUCGAUUAAACUCCUUUAAAUUUAAUUUGACUGAAGUUUUUAUUUUAACAGAUGGUGUCAGAAGCGUCGUUCAAAGUAGAGAACUUUAAUGAACCCCAGAAGUGCUGAGUGAACAAGCAAGGUACCUGCAAGGACCCACUUGUUUCCUUUGAUCUCUCAGACCAGUGGCAUCUUAAUUGCCUCUUUUAAGAACUUUGGGAAGUGGACCCUACAUUGUAAAGAUAGGAUUCAACAAAGCAGAAUGUUGCUCAAACGUUGCUCAAAAAGGAAACCAGUGUUAAAGUGAUGAUUCCUUUGAGCUUAUUGUUCUACUCACCACACAUUUGCAACAUUUGAUGCAGUCAUUCACAAUGGAAAAAUGCAUUCUCCUCAACAGAUUUGCAGAAACUCUUACUUUGGUCACACCUGUCUGGGAAGAGUGGUAUCCUGCUGAAUCAGUCAACUUCACUGUUAUUCUCAGCUUUGAGUGGCUUAAUUGUCAAGGUAUUCUAUGGCACCUUUACAGCAGGGUUAACAACUUUUUGUCUGAUUUUCAAGGACAGGUUGAAAGGAAACAGUGAGCCUCUGUUUGUCUCAAUAUCAUUGUUUUGCACAGGGAUAUGCAGCUUUAAUUUCACAUAUUUGGCAAAUCCAGGUGAUAUUUUAGAAAUACGGGAUUAUAAUUACCAAUGAGUUUCUCUCUUAGGUAGACAAUAAAUACAUUGAAAACUUUGUGACAUUUUAUAGCCAGUGAAAGGCUAUUUCUUCUUAUGUCAUUGAUGAACCAAGGUAACUUAAUUGUAUUUUUUUUUAAAUGAAGCACAGACUAUAUGAAAAUUGAUUUACAUUGUUUUGUAUAGUUAUAGUCUAUAAGAUUUCCAAAGUUAUGUUAAAAGUCCAAUUUUAACCAGUAUUUAAAUUCAGAAAUGCCUACUUAUGUUUGGUUAUUCAUGAAAGAACACCUAUUUUUCUUUUUUAUUACUAUUAAGCUAGGGAUGGCUCUGGACUCUAAGAAUAUAUCAGUGAGUAAGUUUCAGCAUUCAUAGAACUUGUACUUUAUGUGAAAGGGAGAUUAACACAAGUAUUUUUUUUAAAGGCUGUAGAUCACGACAAGUGCUAUAAAGAUAAUAUUCUAUUUAAAUGAAUAAAGGGUAACUAGGAUACAGGGUGGUCAAAAAUCCCUUAAAACAGAUGACAUUUGAGUAGAGACAAGAAAGAAUAAUGAAUAGCUUCCAACCAUUUAAAUAGCCGAGAAAAACAAAUCCAAGCAGAGAAAAAUAGCAAAUGGAAAUUCCCUACGAAUAAAUGGUUUUGGUUUGUCAGAGGAAAAACAAGAAUGCCAGAGUUGCUAGAGAGUGGAUGCGAAGCAGCAGAAUGAGAGAUGAAAUCAGGGGAACACAUGGGAAGUGGUAAACUACAGAAAUAAGUUUGAUAUUUAUUUAAGUAAAAUAAGAAAAUAGUUGAAGAAUUUUAAGGGAGGGAGUGUUGUGAUAUGGUUUGUGUUGUAAAAGGUAACUUUUCUUAGCAUUCCUUGAUGUAUAUGUACCAUAUUUUCUUUAUCCAAGCUAUCAUUGAUGGGCAUCUAGGUUGAUUUCAUGUUUUCGCUAUUGUAAAUAGU